AGGCCAUCAGCAGCUCUGAGUCAGCCAGCACAGCUGAACUGAGUUGCAGGCAGCUGUACCCCAGACCAUGAGCAUCACAAACAGUAUAAAGGGGAAGGUUUGAGGAGGGGAGAGCCUUCUGCUGGAGCUUGCUGCUUGAGUUCCUCUUCCUCCUCCUGCUCUUGAGGAUGCUGUUCCUGGCUCAAGCUUGCUCUGAUGGUGAACAUGAAGCCAAACCAGCACAAGGCAGGACUGGAGCUGCAAACAUCUGGUCCAGCUCAGCUCUACUGGGAUCUCAUCUGCACUACACCUGAGGUAGAUCCUCCUCCAGAGAGCCUUCCAUCAUCCUGCCUGGGAGACAACCUAUUGCCUGGCUCAUGUGUGGCUUCCUUUCUCUUCACCAUCUCCUGGAGAGCAGGAGUUGGGUGCAUGGUGGAGAUACCAACCCCAAAGAGGAUGAGCCUUGUUCAGCUUCUAUAUUCCUUUCUGUAGUCCUAACUUCAGCUUUCCCAGCUUGAAUGGGAUAAAACCCAAGUCCAGACUAGCUGGAGGGACCACCCCAAGACUUUUUGGUCUCAGAGUGUCUCUUGCUUGCUCAGAGCAGAGGCCAAGCAGGGAGCAAAGCUAGGAAGAAAAAGCACCUCAGGAGGUCAUGGCUGAGGUUUCUUUUUUCCUUCACUUAACUCUGAAGUAAAACUACAUC
Long non-coding RNA from Pogoniulus pusillus (Red-fronted tinkerbird), 682 nucleotides. RefSeq lists it as uncharacterized. Lineage: Eukaryota; Metazoa; Chordata; Aves; Piciformes; Lybiidae. The record is from RefSeq and is a predicted model, not a curated record. The transcript is spliced from 3 exons.